This is a small nuclear RNA of Lemur catta (Ring-tailed lemur), 107 nucleotides long. The record is from RefSeq and is a predicted model, not a curated record. Lineage: Eukaryota; Metazoa; Chordata; Mammalia; Primates; Lemuridae.
GUGCUCUCUUUGGCAGCAUGUGUACUAAAAUUGAAACGAUGCAGAAAAGAUUAGCCUGGCCCCUGCACAAGGAUGAUACGCAAAUUCGGGAAGCAUUCCAUAUUAAC